This is a long non-coding RNA of Gymnodraco acuticeps, 251 nucleotides long. RefSeq lists it as uncharacterized. The record is from RefSeq and is a predicted model, not a curated record. NCBI's taxonomy places the organism in Eukaryota, Metazoa, Chordata, Actinopteri, Perciformes, Bathydraconidae. The transcript is spliced from 3 exons.
UGCAGCUGGUUAAUGGACACUGAGUGAAGUUGGUUAAGUGCUGAGGUGAAAAGGUCUCGACCUCGGAGGAUUGUUAAGAAGUGAAGAGGAUGUGAUCAGGGUGAAGGAGAGGUUUUAAUGAGGCUUCUGACUUUUUCGAAGCAUUUGGCUGUUUUGCAAUUCAACAACUAAUUUCGGCCGUGAAGAAAGACAACCGCCAUCAUGUCUGACAAGAAGAUGAAUUCGAGCCGCAGGCAUCAUCUGAAGGUACG